RNAcentral lists this long non-coding RNA (3631 nucleotides) under Sus scrofa (pig). Its description in RNAcentral is "lncRNA (ENSSSCG00015070895.1)". The record is from RNAcentral. Lineage: Eukaryota; Metazoa; Chordata; Mammalia; Artiodactyla; Suidae.
UUUUUUUGUUAGAUGCAGUCUUUCAAAAUGAGUAAAUAAGCCCCAACACUAGAAGGUCAAAGAUUGAUUGGAGACUUCAAACCAUGAGCCCUCAAUGCGAUUUAAGCCUGAUAAAAGCCAUUUUCCCAAAUGUAGUUUUCAUAUUAAGUGGUAAAAGCCAGUGAAGAGUAAAAAGCAUCAUUAUGUGAUGGCUUGAAGUAAAUUUAGAACUUCAUUGAGAAAUCUAAGGUUACAUGUAUAUAUCAACAUAUACAUACACACACACACACACACACACAUACAUAUAUAUAUCCACUUAAGAAACUGUUUCUUUUUAAGCUUCUGUCUUUUGAAAGCAUAAAUUACUUAGUUCAGUUGAUUAUUUUUAAGUCUAUAUAAAGUGGGUUUCAGAAUACCAUUUCUAGCAAGUGUAAAGCCUCAGAAAAAAAAAAAGUGAAAACAAGUGUUACUUAAAAGAUCUAUUUUCUAAACCAAUAUCUUUGGGGGAAAGGGCUAAAUAUAAGCAAAAUACAUAUUUUCUCCUUCUGUAAUUAAAAUUAAAAUUUAAUCAUUAGCCCUGAAACGUGAAGGAAUAUUUCUUAAGUCAAUGUUGAAAGACUCCAACAGCAUAUUUCUAAGCAUUUAAUAACUACUGUCUGAUCAGUUGAGUUUUAAGAAUUUCUCAUCGAAUUAACAAUGCUGAGGCAAUUAGUGCGGAAAACGCAAAAGGUUUUCUAAAGCCUUCCAAGAGUGUACCAUAAACUGGAAAGACAGCAGCAUUUGUACAAUAGCUUCUAGUUUAAAGUUAUUUUCACAGAGAAAAGUUUUUUCUUUGUACGAAAUGUACAAUUAAAAGAACUGCAGCGUAAAUGUUACCUGCAGGACUACGAACAUGUGGAAUAUAUGUUUAAAAUAUAUAAAUAUAUAAAUAUAAAGACAUGGAAUUAGCUGAGACGAAGGAAAGAGAAAUUGCGAAAUAAUGGAUGAAACCACCGCAGGUGCACCUACGUAUGUACGAGCGUGGAGGGUCGGGGAGCAGGAGGAGCAGAGAAGGCGCAGGCGCAGUGAAGAGAAAGGGCGGGGAAAAGGCUCAGGUCCCCUGCGGUUGGCUCAACACUGGGGACCAGGCGGGGGUUCAAGAGUUGGGCCUUGGAAGAAUGGAGGAGCAAUGCUUAACCGAACAGAAGUGUCUUGCAGAGAAGCAGAAGAACCGAAGGGAGACCAAGACGUAGGCUUAGGUUAAAGGGCUUCCACUGAACAAGUCAAGUGGGAGCUCUGCCCACGUCUCGUGGUUUUGAAGGAUGUCAAGAAGCUCAGGCUUCUCUCUGGUUUCCGUGAACAGCUGCAAAGGCGCACGUCUUCGCCUUUGUCCUGAGACAGCUGUCUCUCACUGUUUGUCCCUCUGCUCUCUUUCUACCAUAAUGUAUACCCUUCACUUCUAAGCGUCGGGAAAAUGCGAUCCGCACUUCUGUCCUUCACUUCCUCAUCCUCAGUUCGUGUGGGGCUUUUGUCAUUGUCCCUCAUGUGUCCCUGAACCUGCCAAGGCUGUUUGCAAUGAAAUCUUGUGUCCAAUUCCCAGCCCUCUCCUGAUGGCUUUCUGUGGACCUAAGCAGGGUUAACGGCUUCCUCCUGAAAACUCAACUCACGAGGUCUCGGUGACGUCUUUUCCCAAUAGUGCCUUUGUUCCCUAGCUGCUGCUGUUUCGUCUGCUUCCAGGGCUCCUCCUUCUCUGCCUGCUGCUUAGUUGCCCAAAGGCAGGUUUCCAUUCCCCUUCUCCUUCCCUGCGGUCAGAACACGCUCUGGGGCACCUGCGCCCCCCAGUCUCCAUCACUGUGGCUAUUCUGACUCCCCGGGGACUCAGGUCUUCUGAGGUCUGAGCUUAUAUCAUUUGGAGCACCCUCUUUAAGAAAAGGAAUACAGACGUCUGAACACAAAAUUAGUUUAAAAAAUGAAUACAGAUGACAAAUACCACAGUAUCAUAGAAACCAAAAGAGUAACACAUUUUCAUUAAUUGUCUGACACAGUUCUAUGCUUUGCUCCCCUUUCAUUGAUUAUUUUGUACUAUUGUGGAGAGAUGAGAAAGAUAAAUCAGUCUUUCAUCUGGUGUGGUUAGUCGGACGUGGUUUCUUACUACUGAUAUUUUGAAUGCAAAAAAAAAAGUGAGCACAGAUGAACUUACCGUGUGUAACCUUCUUAUAGGUUUGUGUCCAAUGAACAUAGGAAUUCAGAUAAAGUUCAUUUCUUAAAUUCCCUUCAAAAUAAAAAAAUAUGGUGCAUUUAUAAUUAUGUGCUUCAUCAUCAAAUAUUGUGAAAGAAAAUGAACUUCUGUUUCGAUCAAGCAUUAGUAGAAGUCGUUGAUUCAGUUUAUUUCCAUAUCCCCUAUUGCUGCUGUAUGUCAGCGCCCCAGAAUUUCCUCUGCCUUUGCAACAGCCACCGAACAGGCACCCUCUUUGCCAGUCUUGCCUCACCAUGACUCCCUUGUGUAUUUCUGAGAGCUUUUUGAUCAGAAAAUCAUAUAAUCACCCUCUUACCUAAACUGUUAAUGGACACUCAUUAUGCUCAAGAUAGUUUCCAAACUUCUUAGUCUGGCAAUCAAAACCCAUUCCUAACAUCAUUCCUGCUUCUUAUUUGAACCUCACCUCUCAUGGAAUAUCCACCCCUCAUCUCGACACCAUCCUACAUUCCAAUGAGACCAAAAUGUUAGAAUUGGCUAUGCCAUGGUCAAAUAUGUAUAUCCACUGCUCCUUCUGCCAGAAGUAUCACCACAUAAAAACUUGUUUAAACCCCUCUGGUCUUUUAAACUCCUCUCCAAAAUGCCUUUUCUGUCCACUGACACCACUCUUUAUCCCUCUAACCUAAAUCACGACUCACCAGAUGAACCUAUUCUGUAUCUUUACCAGGGUAUGAAUCAUGUAUUAUAAUUGAUAUUCAUAUUUUUAAAAAUCCAUUAAUUUGGUAGGCAAGGCUCUGAUACCUGGAGGGAACUGUGAUAUUGAUAUCUUGUGAAAUGUUCCGUGAGCGUUGAUAAUAAUCCAAAAUUCCCAGAAAGCCAGAAGCUAUAUAAUUUUCAUAAACUCAAGACUUUCUAAUCUCAGAUCAUCAAAAUACCUGCUCAAAUACCUUUAUGUUUUUUAAGCCCCUUAGGUGACUGCAGGUCAUCUUGUUCAAUAAGAUGAGGACUGGUUAAAGUGGGGAAUCAUAAAAAUAAAUACAUAAAUAAAUAAGGAAGCACUACCUAAAAUAUUUUUUCUGUGAGUAUGAAUCAGUGAUUUGGGUUUCAGUUUGUCGUCCUUAUCUUUUGACUUUAGACUCAUCAUAAGAAUUCUUCACAUUACAGUUCCAGUUUCUUUAAAGUGAAGGAGAACUUAAAGAAAUAGGCUGAAUGGAAUUCCUGUCAUGGCUCAGUGGUUAACGAAUCUGACUAGGAACCAUGAGGUUGCGGGUUCGCCCCCUGGCCUUGUUCAGUGGGUUAAGGAUCCGGCGUUGCCAUGAGCUGUGGUGUAGGUAGCAGAUGUGGCUCGGACCUGGCAUUGCUGUGGCUGUGGUGUAGGCCGGGAGCUACAGCUCCAAUUAGACCCCUAGCCUGGGAACCUCCAUAUGCCAUGGUAGCAGCCCUAGAAAAGGCAAAAAGACAAAAAAAAAAAAAAAAAAA